GUUCAGAUUGCAGGCUGCAACUCGCCUGCAUGAAGUCGGAAUUGCUAGUAAUCGCAGAUCAGCAUGCUGCGGUGAAUACGUUCCCGGGCCUUGUACACACCGCCCGUCACACCAUGAGAGUCGGGAACACCCGAAGUCCGUAGCCUAACCGCAAGGGGGGCGCGGCCGAAGGUGGGUUCGAUAAUUGGGGCGAAGUCGUAACAAGGUAGC
This 210-nucleotide ribosomal RNA is filed under the name uncultured bacterium. RNAcentral's name for it is "partial 16S ribosomal RNA". It matches the Rfam family "Bacterial small subunit ribosomal RNA", at positions 1291 to 1500 of the family's 1533-position model. The record is from RNAcentral.